CGGCAGUAGCGCGGUGGUCCCACCUGACCCCAUGCCGAACUCAGAAGUGAAACGCCGUAGCGCCGAUGGUAGUGUGGGGUCUCCCCAUGCGAGAGUAGGGAACUGCCAG
This 109-nucleotide ribosomal RNA is filed under the name uncultured Phytobacter sp. Lineage: Bacteria; Pseudomonadati; Pseudomonadota; Gammaproteobacteria; Enterobacterales; Enterobacteriaceae. The record is from RNAcentral.